CUCAAGGAUUGGAAUGCUUGCAACUCGAAUUUUUAUAUGUAUCUCCCAAAGACUCUUACCUUCAAAUCAAUAUUCCUGAGAACUUUUUUGCAGGGAUGCGGAAGCUUAGAGUUGUAGAUUUUACUGGGAUGCAAUUAUAUUGCUUGCCAUCUUCAAUUGAUCUCUUAGUAAAUCUUCAAACACUAUGUUUAGAUCAAUGCAUGUUGGGAGACAUAGCUAUUAUUGGAAGGUUGAAGAAUCUGGAAAUCCUUAGCUUUUUAAAAUCAGAUAUUGUGCAGUUGCCUGAAGAACUACGUGAAUUGACUAAGCUAAGGUUGUUAGAUUUAUCCAAUUGUCUCCGGCUAAAAGUUAUUGCACCCAAUGUCCUAUCAAGCUUAACUCGAUUGGAAGAACUCUACAUGAAAAAUUGCUUUAUCGAAUGGGAGGUUGAAAGCCCCAAUAGUGGAAGAUGUACUGCCAGCCUUGUUGAGUUGUUGCAAUUGCCUCGACUGACCACUCUAGAAAUAGAUGUCAAAAAUGAUAGUAUUUUACCAGAAGGAUUUUUUGCAAAAAAAUUAGAAAGGUUCAAAAUAUCAAUAGGAGAUGAGUCAUUCAAGCCUCCCGUGCUUGCGAAUGAAUGGUUCCGUAGUCGGCGGCUUUUGAUCAGUAAUCCUUCGAGUUUAAGAACCAUUAAGCUGAAGCUUAGCUCAAAGCCUAUUUGCUCGAAGAAAAUGCAGGGCAUCCAGAAUGCUGAAUACUUGUGUUUGGACAAGCUGCAAGGUGUGAAUAAUGUUCUUUUCGAUAUGGACACUGAGGGCUUUCUACAGUUGAAGCAUCUCCAUGUUCAAAAUAAUCCUGAAUUCUCGUGUGUUGUUGACUCAACGGAGAGGGUAUCUCGCGAUGCCUUUCCUCUUUUGGAGUCACUUACUCUUUACAAUUUGAUUAACAUGGAGAGGGUGUGUACUGAUCCACUCAAAGUAGAGUCUUUCUGUGAACUUAAAACCAUAAAAGUGGGAAAAUGUGAUGAGUUGAGUAAUAUCUUCUUGCUGUCUUCCACAAGCUGCCUUCCCAGACUUGAGAGGAUUGCAGUUUUUGAUUGCGAUAAGAUUGAAGAGGUCUUUGCAAUUGGUGGAGAACCAGAUGUCGACAACUAUAAUACAAUGGAGAAGACAGAGUUUGCUGCAUUAAAAUGUUUACAUCUGCGGAAGCUUCCAAAGCUUGAAAGUUUUUGCUCUGAAGUAAAGAGACCAAAUACACAAGAGUCGCAAGAGGAAUUGACAGCUAUUACUUGCUCGAACGAAAUCAGUUUGUUGGAGGAGGACAAGCUUGAUACUUCGACACCGCUUUUCAAGGAGAAGGUAAGCAAUUAUAAUGAAACCAAAGCAUUCGUUUUUCUUUCUCAAUUUAUUCUAUCGUGCAUUCUCAUUUGAUGACAACUGUAGAAAAUAAAUUAUAAGGGAAAUAGAAAAUGAGAAUGGAAAUUAGAAUCUAACACACUCACUCACUAAGCUCGCUUUACACAUUAAUGAUGUGAAUUAAAUUGCAGAUUAAGUGUAUGUUUGGUAUGGUAAUAAUUCUCAAAAAAUCAUUUUUAGCACAGAUUUCUAAAAACUAUAUUUGAAAAAAGUUUUAACACAAUGUUUUGUAAAUGGGUGAGCUAUUUGCACCUCAAAAAUUACUCUAAACACUCUAAUUGAAAUAAAAAUUUAUAACAAAAAUAUCUAUCAUAUGAAUUACGUUAAGGACAAUUUAUUAUAAGUCAAUAUUACAUAAUUACUAUGAACGCCCCAUAUAACACACUCAUUAUUUAAUAUAUAUAAUUUUCAUGUUUUAAACCUUAAAAAAUUUUAUUUACAAAAUCUUCAUCAAUACUUAGAUGAAUAAUGAUAAAAUCAAUAUUUUUCUUUUAUUUUUCCAUAAAUAAAAUUAAUUUUGCACUCAUUAUUUUUAUUUUUUCAAAAAUAAAGUAAGUAUCUUUUUCCUUUUAUUGGGCUUUUGACCUCUUUUUUUUUUCUUCUUUGUCCUCUUCUCUUCUUCUCCUUCCUUUUUUAGAGUUAUUAUGGAAUAUUUCUUCUUAUUAUUUUCUCAUUGCAAGUUAUUUUAAGUGCAAAAUCCAAUAUUAAACAUAAGUAAACAAAAAAAUUAAUAACUAAAAUACUUGUUUUACUAUUUAAAUUACAUUCGGUACACAUGCAUGUUUGGUAAUUUACUAUUAUAAAAUACAUGUUUUAUUAUUUUUCAAAAAUAAAAGAGGUUUUUUAUAAUUCAUAAAUAAUAUUGAGCACACUAUUUUAAUAAUCACUUUUCAAUUACAUUUGUCAAACUCUUUGGUACAUUAGAUUGUCAAAUGAUCAAAUACCAAACACGCACUGAAGCUGUCACUUGGAAGAAGGUUUUGAUGGCUUAUAUUUACAAUCAAAGAAGAUACUUCUCAGCUUAUAUUGGAUCUAAUAAAAAAUUAAUGUUUAGGUUGUGCUCCCCAGCUUGGAGGAUUUGAAGCUGGUUGGAAUUAAUGUCGAAAAGAUUUGGCAAAAUCAACUUCCAGCCAUGUUUCUUUGCUUUCAAAGUUUAACUAAAUUGAUCGUGGGGAAGUGUCACAAAUUAAAAUGUAUAUUUUCGACUUCUAUGCUCAGAAGCUUUGAACAACUCCGACAGCUGAAUAUAUACAACUGUAUGGGUUUGCUUGAGAUUAUUUCCGAAGGAGCAGAUCAAGUGCCACCUUGUUUUAUCUUUCCGCGGCUGACAUUUCUAAGACUACGUAAACUACCAGAACUUAGAUGUUUAUAUCCUGGAAUGCAUACUUCGGAAUGGCCGGCACUAAAAAUGUUGAAGGUCUUUGGUUGUGACAAAAUAAAGUUAUUCGGUUCCGAAUUAUCUAGCUUCCAUGGAAACAUUGAUAAGAAUCAGCUUCAUAUCCCAGCGCAACAGCCCCUGUUGUUGAUCGAAAAGGUAUAUAUGCAACCAUUUAUUUGAUUUUUUAUCAGUUGAGUCUUACUGUUUCUUAUGUUUUACGUUUGAUUCUUUGUUGCAAAGAAACUCACAAACAAAAGAUUUUAGAAAUACCCACUGUACAUGUAUGUAUUGCUCAAAAUUGUUUGACAGAACAUCAAUAGAACUAAUUAGUUUUUAUAUGAGUUGAUGAUGUUCAGAUCUUCCCCAGCUUGGAGAAACUCCUAUUAAGUGGAAAGGAUUUCAGGAUGAUUUUGCAGGGUGAUUACCCACAAAACCUAUUUGGCAGUCUUAAAUACAUUAAGGUUGCGGAUGAUGACUCAGCUUGUUUUCCACUUGGUUUACUUGAGAAAUUUCAAAAUCUGGAAAUCCUCUUUCUGAGUUGUACUUCAUACACAGAGAUAUUAUCAAAUGAAGGACACUCGGAGAAGCACGUGGGCAAGUUCUCACAAGUAAAACAUUUACAGCCGUACAAACUGAAUGAUCUGAAGCACCUAUGGAAACAAGACUCCAAACUGGACUCCAUUCUUGCAAAUCUUGAAAUUCUACGAGUAUAUUGUUGUCAAAAUCUGACUGUUCUAUUGCCAUCAUCAUCGGUAUCGUUUUGGAAUCUAACAGAUCUGCAAGUUUGGGGCUGCAAGAAAUUGAUGAAUUUGGUAACAUCCUCCACAGCAAAGAGUCUAGUGCGCCUCAUGACAAUGAAGGUGUGUGGGAGCAAAGCAAUGACACAAGUGGUGGUAAGUGAGGAAGAUGGAGCAGAAGAUGAAAUUGUUUUCAGCAAAUUGAAGACAUUGUCUCUGCUUGAUUUAGAUAGCCUCACAAGUUUCUACUCUGGCAAUUACACCUUCAAAUUCCCAUCUCUACAAGAUUUAGAAGUGAUUGGUUGUCCCAAGAUGAAGAUUUUCACCACAGGAGAAUUAUGCACACCGCCGAGAGUAAAUGUCUGGUAUGGAGAGGGAGAUGGUGAAUGUCGUUGGGCUAAUGACCUUAACGUUACGAUACAAGAGUUGCAUGCUGAAAAGGUACGGUUAACCCACCAACUUAACUCCCAAGGAAAAAUUUUACAAAUUUGCACUUUUUAACAAAAUUUAGAAAAUAGAUCAUGGACAACCAAGUUUGACUCAUUAGAAUAUUUAUUAUUGAGUAAGUGCAUGAUCGGGUUUGAAAAAGUAUGAGACACUUCUGUAUGUAGUUCUUGAAACUGUCCAAUUUAAAACAGACAUAUUCAAUUCUCAAAAAAUCAUGAAUCAUUAGUUUUAACUUCAUAAUAUAAAAGUCGUGUCAAAUUAAUGAAUGAGAAUUUUGUUUUCAGAUGUUGGAGGGGUCGUCAUCUAACUUGAGGAAGUACGAUUGGUGAUCAUGUUGGCUUUUUAAUUUAUUACUUGGAGUUGUGAAUUUGAAGAAUAAAGUCCCAGGUAAAUAAUUUAAUUUCCCUUAUUUGAUCUCAUAGCUUGUUUCAUCGGUUCACCUGAACUAUUUAGAUUGCGUCACUGGUUUAUUGUUAACUUUAAAAUGAAGUUUUAAUGUUUCAUUCGGGGCUUUAUGAGCAAAUUUUACAUCAUUGAAUGUCCUUUGGUCUGAACUUUUGAGCUUUUUGUUUGAUAGUCAAGGCUUUAUAGUAUGCUAUUUAUAAUUCCUUAAGAAUGUGCAAAAUUUUUUAUGAUAAAAUUGCUUGAAUAUGUCAUUGAAAGGAACUUCUAUGUUGCUCUUUAUGAUUACAGAGUUCUCAAUGUUAUCACUCUUCUUUUGCAGGAUGUGGAAUCAAAGAUACUUUUCUAUGAAAUUUGUGUUCCUUGUAUUAAAAGUUUACAUGCUGAAGGGCUUCCUGUGUUAUCUUUGCUGUUCUACUUGUGCUUUACUUCAUUGUGUCGCUACAGCUUUGUGAGUGUUAUGUUAACUAUUGUUUCCUUCAUUUGGGCAUUGUAAGUUUCGAAGGCGCUACAUUGCUUGACUAAAGAUGCUUAAAUUUAUCAUCUGUUUGUACCCCUUGUAUUAUAUACAAUAAAUUUUUGAUGUAUUUUGACAUUUAAUACGAGAUAUGUUUGAAUUUUCAUUGAAAGGUUUCAUAAUUGUUCAAAUUUAUCUUCAGUUUUAUUUUUGUUAUCUUGUUGGAACCAAAUUGACAACCAAGAUCAAUUUGGAACACCCAAGAUCCACUCUAAGAAACUUGAUCUUAACUAGGUCUGAUACUAGACUGAGUUUAAGAAGAAAUUUGCCUAGGUAAGUGGAAUCAAACACAACUCAAGGAACAAAAGCAGAAAAGAAAGAAAACAGAUCUCACACACAGCACCAAGAUUUAUAGUGGUUCGGCCAUUUUCUUGCCUAUAUCCACUGUGAAAAGAGAAGCAAGCUUUCACUGAUUUCAGAGAUUACAAGUCACAGAGAUGAAGAGUAUGUGUAACAGAAUCGAAACCCCUCAGUAACAGAUCAUAGAGCCUUUUACAUUUCAAUCAAAACCCUCUAAAAGGACCCCAAACAAUCAGCUCACGCUCCUGGGUUUCUCAGCUAAGCAAUCCCAGCUGCAUCUGCAUCCCGCGUGAAUUAACUGAAUUAACAGCUUCUGGAACUGCUCAGGGACACUUGUCAAAUGCUCGUAUAAUUUGCUACUUCAAAAACCGACAUGACAUCACUUCCUUCCCCAAGCAUCAGACACGUCAUACACAUUCCCGAAUCCAGAUUUGAGCUUCCCCUCUUCAGCAUAUCUCAAAUACAUGUUAGGCCUUGCAUGCAUAGACGCACGUAAUAUCCCAGAAGAGUUUUAUCAGAUGAUUUUACUAUCAUCGUUGUUGUUGCUGCUCCCGCCGCCGCCAUUAUUACUAUUAUUAUACUACUACUUGAAAAUUUCAAGUAUUUUAGAUGAGAAAUUUAUUAUGUUAGAGAUAUUCAUAAUAUACAUGAUGCUGAAAUCAGGGAAUUUGUUGUCUCAGUUUGUUUUAUUUUUGUUUGCCUCGAAUCAAAUUUUGAAAUUUAAGAACUAUGGUAAGAGAUGGAACAAGAGGAGUUAAAAAAUUUGCCAAAAUUGAUGUAGCAAUGAAACAAUUGUAUCCUAACAUGUUUAGCAUCAUUCUACUUUAUGAUCAUUGUUGUUCCGUUAUUUUAGUUCUUGCUCUGUUUGUUCUGUUUCUCUGUUUAUUUCACUGGGGGUUUGCUUCACAAAAUCUUACUUUCAAAAUUUAGAAGGCAAGGAAAGAGCGCUUCGAAAAUGCAAGAGGUAUCAAAUCAUGCAUUAAAAAACUUGUUGGCUGCUGGCUGGUCUAUUUCAUUGGCACCGAUCGAAUCAUUAUCCCUAAAAUAAUUAGGAGUCGGAGAUAUAAGUGUGAAAAUAACAGGAUCAUUUACAACAUGGAAAUCAGUCGCCAUUGGUAGGUGGCGCUGCAUAUGAUAAUAACAACUGAUUGAUACCAACAAAGUGUUGGCUCCACUGGUAAUGGAGUCCCCUUAAGUGGCUUGACUGGAUUUGCUCCCCAGUUCGAGUCGCAGGGAAGUCGCCUUUGUUGGGAGAAUCUGUGCCUCCCGGUUCGAGCGGAGACUUCUAGUCUGGGUUGUGGUACGGGCUUAAAGGUGCCUCCCACAGUUGGGGCCCUCCCCAGGAUACCUCGUGAUUAAUAUAAAAAAAAAAAAACAACUGAUUGAUGAAAUUAAUGCCAUCAAUCUGCCUGUUAAUGUUGUUGACGCGUGUCAAAUUUUCAUGCAUAUUAGAAUUUAUUAGUGAGGUUGCAUUAUGGUCCAUAUCGUCAAUAACUUUAGCAGUCAAAUUUUACGCCACUGGAGUCAAAUUUUCAUGCAUAAAGCUGUUGGCUGGUCUGUUUGGCUCUACAAUGAUUUAUCUUUUCGACUUAAAAUGAUUCCAAAAAGCCAUCAGCAAUCUCUAGUGCAACUCUUCAAAAAAAAAAAUUAAAAUAAAAAUAAAAGUCUCAAAAAGUAUCAUUAAUUUAAUUCUAUUGUUUCCGGGUAAUCAGAACGUGUUUGAUAAAUAUUUAUAAGUUACAGUUUGAAAAUUAAAUAGAUUUUAUUUAACAAAAAGAUAUUGUUGACGCGUGUCAAAUUUUCAUGCAUAUUAGAAUUUAUUAGUGAGGUUGCAUUAUGGUCCAUAUCGUCAAUAACUUUAGCAGUCAAAUUUUACGCCACCGGAGUCAAGUGAUUUUUAAGCAGUUUUAUUCAACUGGUUACCUGAGUUCGAAUCUUAAAGAGAUAAAUAGUUAAAAAUGAAUUUAGACUUUGCCUACUCCUUUAAUAAAAAAAGAAGGUCAUUUAGUCUUAACUUUUGAAAUUUUUAUUUGACAUUUCGGCUUUAUAGCAUGCGAUGUAUUUUCUUAAAUUUUAUAAUUCCUUGAGAAUGUGCAAACAUUUUAUGAUAAAAUUACUUAAAAAUGUCGUUGAAACGAACUGAACUUUUUAUGUUGAAAGAAAGCCUUAUUAUUUUUCUGUACUUCUAUGUAAUGCUUUAUGGUUACAAAAUUCUCAUUGUUAUCACUCUUCUUGUGCAAGAUCUGUAAUGAAAGAUACUUUUCUGUCAAAUUUGUGUUCCUGAUAUUAAAAGUUCACAUGCUGGGGGGCUUCCUAUUUCAUCUUUGUCAUUCUACUUGUGCUUUGCUUCAUUGUGUAGCUACAGCAUUAUAAGCGUUACCAUAACUUAUCUGCAGCAAUUUUAUAAUUUACUAUUAUUGUGGUUGUUGCUGCUAUCAUUGUUCUACUAGUUGGAAAAUUCGAAUUCUUUUAGACGUGACAUUUAUCAUAUUAGAUAUUCAAGGUAUACAUACAUGCAUAUAUAUAUAUAUAUAUAUACUGGGUAUCUGUUUAGAUAUGAUGCAGAGAAAUGACAGAAGUUGUAUUAAGUGACGAAGAUUGAGCAGCAAAACAAGAGAUAGUUUUCAGCAAAUUAAAGACGUUGGCUCUGUUUGAUUUAGUUAGACUCACAAGUUUCUGCUCUGGCAAUUGCACUUUCAAAUUCCCAUCCUUGCAAGAUUUAACUGUGAUUGACUGUCCCAAGAUGAAGAAUUUUACUAGAGGAGAAUUAUGGAUGCCAUCUGGUACGGAGAGAGAGAAGAUGAAAGCCGUUGGGCUAAUGACCUUAACACAACCAUACAACAACUACAUGCAGAAACGGUAUGAUUAAUUCACUAUUCUAUCUCCAAUGGAAAAGUUUUACAAAAUUUGCAAUUUUUUAACAAAACGUAGAAAACUGAUCAUUGACAAGUUAGUUUGAUUCAUUAGAAUAUUCGCUAUUACUUUUGUAUUUAAUUCAUCAAACUGUCCUAUUUAAUAUUGACAUUUUCACAAAAGUUAGAUAAUGUUUUUCAAUUCUCACAAAUUCGUUAAUAAUUAGUUUUAAUUUCAUAAUAUGAAAAUCUUGUCAAAGAAAUUGUGUUAUUAAACUUAUUAAAUCUCUCGCUAGUGGCUUCCUUCCUAAUCUCCAUGUGCUUUAGUAUUUAUUUCCAAGUGCCUAAUUUUACAACUUUUAAUUUAGAUUAAUGAAUGACAAUUCUUAUUUUUUCAGCUGUUGGAGGGGCUUUCAUCUUAGUCGACUUUAUACAAGUAAUCUGAUCAAAUACAUUUUAGUACUUGGAUAAGAUGUGGAUUUGAAGACUAAAGAUCGCAGGUAACUAAUUUUAUUACUUAUGUACUUUUCUCAUGGUUUUGUUUCAUCGUUUCAUCUAAACUCUUUGGAAUGCAUUAAUUUUGUUUAUUGUUAAUUUGGAACGAAGUUUUAACGUAUCAUUCAGGGAUUUUGUUUGCAUCAUUGAGGGUUGUUUGGCCUUAACUUCUGAGGUUUUUGACAUUCAGCUUUAUAUUGUGCUAUUUUUUGUAAUUUUAUAACUUCUUGAAAGCAUGCAUAUAUUUUUUUUCUUAUCAUGAUGCCUCGAAAAUGUCAUUAGAAGGGACAGCAGUUUUCUUUUUCUUAUUUAUUUUCAAGUAUCUACGUUUGCGAAUUUUAGUUCAACUUGUUGAAUGGGAAUUUUGUUUUCAGCUACGUACAAGACGAUGCCGCUGCUGCUGCCAUUGUUACUGUCAUAGUUACUAUUACUCGAAAAUUUCAAGUAAUUUAGUUGUGAAAUUCAUUAUGUUAGAGAUAUUCAAAAUAUAUAUGAUGCUGAAAGAAAAGAGUGGACUUGUUGUCUCAGUUUGUCUCAUUUUGUUUUCUCCAACUCUAAUUUUCAAAUUUUAGAAAUAUGGUAAGAGAAGGAACAAAAUGAGUAAAAAAAUUGUCAAAAUAGUUGUAGCUAUGAACAAUUAUAUCCAAACACAUUUAGCAUCAAUCUACUUUGCCAAAUUUUUUAGUCAUCGUCUUUGCUCGGUUGUUUUAGUUUUUGCCCUGUUUGUUCUCUUUAUUUUGAUUGAGUUUGCUUUACAAAGUCUAUCUUUCAAAACUUAGAAGGCGAGGAAAGAGCGGGUAGGAAAUGCAAAAGGUAUCAAAUCAUGCAUAUGGUCAAAUGCUCCUGUAUAUGAACACAUAAAGAACAAUUGAAAUAUCAUUCACCGGAUAACACAAACAAAUAAAAAAAAAAAAAAAAAGAAGAAAGAGAGAAAAUCUAAUCGUCUCAUUAUCCCGAACACAAAUAAUUAAACCAUCAAAUGUUUGCAAUGAGCACAAUCAGAUCAUCUCUUUGGAAUAAUUACAUGUUGGCUUGGCCUAUUUUUUGGCCGGUAAAAAGGUUUUUGGCUGGAGCAUUUGGCCUUAACUUUUUUUUUUUUUUGAGUCUAUAUCAAUUGAUGCCACUAUGUCAAUAAUAAUUGGUAGGAAAUAAAUUAAUAUGUAACUAUAUCUUCUUAAUUAAUUAUUUGUUUUUUUAUCCAUUUACAUUGGAAAAAAGGGGUGCAGGGUCAGGAAGCUUCUUAGACGUGGCACGUUCAAAAGCUUUUUUUUUUUUUUGUCUGAACCACAUGGUCCUGAGUAGGCCCUAACUGUGGGAGAUACCUUUAAGCUCAUACCACAAUCCAAACUAAUCUCCACUCGCACCAGGUCGGCCCGUAAGGGAUAAAGUACUGGCUAAAGUGGUGACUCCAUAUAAGAGCGGGGCUUGAACCUCUGACCUCUCUUAAGAAGUGAGAGUGCCGAACCACUCUGUUCAAAAGCUUUUCUUUUUUAAAAGCUGCGUCAAGCAUGACACGUCAACAUCAUUUACAAGUGGGAACAACUCUUUUUCAUAAAAGAAAAGCCUUUUUUGUUUUAAAAUAAAGUUUUUUUGGAUGAUUCACUAUUACUAAUUGCCCAAGUCAUUCUAUUGCGAAUACAUGCAAAUUAAUAAAGAGACUUGUGGGGUUGCUGGAUAGAAAUUGUUGAAUACAUACAAAUUAUUGAACAGAAAUCCAAUAAUUGAACACCGGCCAAUUCUUGUCCAAUCAAAUUAAAACUCAAUUAAUAUAUUCCACUAAAUUUUUCGUACAACAUCCUAUUCAGAUGAAUAAAAUGUAAAAAAUAAAAUAUAUAAUUCAAAAAAUUAUAAAGGAUGCAAUUUAGCAGGUCAUACAAUAUACCAAAAAAAGUCUUGGGGGUGCAGUGGGAAUAUUUCUUGACAGAAAGAGUCUUAAAAAUUUUUUCGCCAGAAAACAUUUUCUCUCUCUGAUCUCUGUAUUCUUCAGAUCCUCCUCCUUGCUUGAACGUCUGUAACUUUGUCAUCCAUGAUUUGCAUUCAAUUCUUGACGAAAAAACCUUUUUCCGGAUUUUCAUCUUUUGAUCUCAAACAUGCUUUGCUUCUGUUGAUUGUGGUCGCUUCUAGUGCUAGUUCUCUUCUUAUAUAGCUUUGUUCCCUUUUGCCAUCAGCUCUUUGCAUUUCCUUGGAUGAAGAAACCUUUUUCUUGUUUCAAUUUUCUGAUCUCAAAAGCACUUUGAUUCUAGUCUGCCACACUGAUUUUGUCCUUGUUUUGUACAAACAUAAUUUCGCCAUUAUCUGUUUGAUUAUCAAUUGACCCGUCGUUGACUCUAUUCUAUUUCUAUGUGAAAAAUACGAAAAAAAAAAAAAAGAGAUUGAAGAUGGUGGAAAGCAUUGUUACUGUUGUUUUAGAAGUUGUGAAAUGCUUGGCUCCUCCGACACAACGCCAACUUGAUUACUUGCGAAACUACAAUGAAAACAUUCAGAAACUCGAGGCAGAAACCGAGAGCCUGAAGGUUGAAAUUAGGAGCAUUGAGCGCAGAGUUUUUGGGGCCGAAAAACAAGGAGAAAAGAGUGAAGAGAAAGUCGAGAAGUGGUUGGUUAGCGCCAACAAGAUCAUUGAUGAGGUGAAUGCCAAAUUCAUGGGAGAUGAAGAGACUGCAAAUAAGCGAUGUCUCAAGGGGCUGUGUCCUAAUUUGAAGGCUCGCUAUCAGCUUAGCAAGAAAGCAGAGACACAGGUGAAGGCCCUUGUUGAGUGCCGAGAAGAAGCCGGUCGACUUGAUAGAAUUUCCUACCUUACCUAUCCGGACAAGAUAUGGCUCAAGUCCCACAAAGGUUACGAGGCCUUUGGAUCAAGGCUUUCUACUUUGAAGUGUAUACAAAACGCUUUGACAGAUGUUAAUGUCAGCAUCGUUGGAGUGUACGGCAUGGGCGGCGUUGGAAAGACGACUCUAGCGAAGGAGAUCGUUAGGCAAGCCUUGGCAGACAAGCUCUUUGAUCAAAUAGCCUUUUCAGAGGUUUCCGAAACUGCAGACAUAAAAAAGAUUCAGCGGGAUAUUGCUGAGGACUUGGGUCUCGCAUGGCAUGAGGAAACUGAAUCUAGAACUGCGAGUAGACUGUAUGAACAGUUGAAGAAUGAGAAGAAGAUUCUUGUGGUUCUAGAUAACAUAUGGAAGCAUCUUGAUUUGGAGACUGUUGGAAUUCCUUUUGGUGAUGAUUAUAGAGGUUGUAAACUCUUGCUGAUAGCAAGAGAUCGUAAUGUUUUGUUGGAUAUGGAUUCUAAACAUAACUUCUUUAUUGACAACUUAAAUGAAGAAGAAGCUUGGAGAUUGUUUAAGACGAUGGCGGGUGAUUAUGUUGAAAAUCGUCAGCUGAAAUCUACAGCAACAGAUGUAGCCAAGGGAUGUGGAGGCUUGCCUAUUGCCUUAGCUACAACAGCAAGGGCAAUGAGAGACAAGACUGUGCAUGAAUGGAAGAAUGCCUUGCGAGAACUUCAGACGCCUUCAGUGAUGAACUUCGAAGGACUGCCGGCAGAUACUUAUGCAAGAAUCGAGCUGAGUUUCAAGUAUUUAAAAGGUGAGCAGCUCAAGAAAAUUUUUCUGCUUUGUAGUCUAAUGGGUAAUCCUAUUUUUACUUCAGACCUGUUUAAAUACUCCAUGGGUUUGGGUAUACUCCAAGGAGUCAAGAAGAUGGAAGAUGCACGAAACCAAUUAUAUGCAUUGGCCUAUAAACUUAAAGACGCUUGUUUGUUGCUUGAGGGAGGUAGCAGCGAACAAUUUUCAAUGCAUGACGUCGUUCGCGAUGUUGGCAUAUCAAUUGCUUACCGGGACCAACAUGUAUUUUUGGCAAAAAAUGAGGAUGUGUUGGAGCUGCCGGACAAGGAAGCACUUGUAAAUUGCUAUGCGAUUUCUAUAAGUGGUUGCCGUAUUCAGGAGCUUCCUCAAGGAUUGGAAUGCUUGCAACUCGAACUUUUAUAUAUAUCUCCCAAAGACUCUUACCUUCAAAUCAAUAUUCCUGAGAACAUUUUUGCAGGGAUGCGGAAGCUUAGAGUUGUAGAUUUUACUGGGAUGCAAUUAUGUUGCUUGCCAUCUUCAAUUGAUCUCUUAGUAAAUCUUCAAACACUAUGUUUGGAUCAAUGCAUGUUGAG
This 12666-nucleotide long non-coding RNA is filed under the name Citrus sinensis (sweet orange). RNAcentral's name for it is "long non-coding RNA (CSIN_LNC001341)". Lineage: Eukaryota; Viridiplantae; Streptophyta; Magnoliopsida; Sapindales; Rutaceae. The record is from RNAcentral.